CGUGUACGUACAAGCAGUGGGAGCACGCUUAGGCGUGUGACUGCGUACCUUUUGUAUAAUGGGUCAGCGACUUAUAUUCUGUAGCAAGGUUAACCGAAUAGGGGAGCCGAAGGGAAACCGAGUCUUAACUGGGCGUUAAGUUGCAGGGUAUAGACCCGAAACCCGGUGAUCUAGCCAUGGGCAGGUUGAAGGUUGGGUAACACUAACUGGAGGACCGAACCGACUAAUGUUGAAAAAUUAGCGGAUGACUUGUGGCUGGGGGUGAAAGGCCAAUCAAACCGGGAGAUAGCUGGUUCUCCCCGAAAGCUAUUUAGGUAGCGCCUCGUGAAUUCAUCUCCGGGGGUAGAGCACUGUUUCGGCAAGGGGGUCAUCCCGACUUACCAACCCGAUGCAAACUGCGAAUACCGGAGAAUGUUAUCACGGGAGACACACGGCGGGUGCUAACGUCCGUCGUGAAGAGGGAAACAACCCAGACCGCCAGCUAAGGUCCCAAAGUCAUGGUUAAGUGGGAAACGAUGUGGGAAGGCCCAGACAGCCAGGAUGUUGGCUUAGAAGCAGCCAUCAUUUAAAGAAAGCGUAAUAGCUCACUGGUCGAGUCGGCCUGCGCGGAAGAUGUAACGGGGCUAAACCAUGCAC
Molecule: ribosomal RNA, 636 nt
Filed under: Escherichia coli
Lineage: Bacteria; Pseudomonadati; Pseudomonadota; Gammaproteobacteria; Enterobacterales; Enterobacteriaceae
Description: partial 23S ribosomal RNA
Rfam family: Bacterial large subunit ribosomal RNA
Source: RNAcentral